ACACGACCGUACCGCAAACCGACACUGGUGCGCGAGAUGAGUAUUCUCAGGCGCUUGAGAGAACUCGGGAGAAGGAACUCGGCAAAUUGACACCGUAACUUCGGAAGAAGGUGUGCCUUUAGUAGGUGAAGUCCCUCGCGGAUGGAGCCCAAUGAGGUUGCAAAGAAUCGGUGGCUGCGACUGUUUAAUAAAAACACAGCACUCUGCAAACACGAAAGUGGACGUAUAGGGUGUGACGCCUGCCCGGUGCUGGAAGAUUAAGUGAUGGGGUGCAAGCUCUUGAUCGAAGUCCCAGUAAACGGCGGCCGUAACGAUAACGGUCCUAAGGUAGCGAAAUUCCUUGUCGGGUAAGUUCCGACCUGCACGAAUGGCGUAACGAUGGCCACACUGUCUCCUCCCGAGACUCAGCGAAGUUGAAAUGUUUGUGAUGAUGCAAUCUCCCCGCGGAAAGACGGAAAGACCCCAUGAACCUUUACUGUAGCUUUGUAUUGGACUUUGAACGGAUCUGUGUAGGAUAGGUGGGAGGCUUUGAAGCCGGGUCGCUAGAUCUGGUGGAGCCAACGUUGAAAUACCACCCUGGUGCGUUUGAGGUUCUAACCUAGGCCCGUUAUCCGGGCCGGGGACAGUGCAUGGUAGGCAGUUUGACUGGGGCGGUCUCCUCCCAAAGCGUAACGGAGGAGUUCGAAGGUACGCUAGUUACGGUCGGACAUCGUGACGAUAGUGCAAUGGCAUAAGCGUGCUUAACUGCGAGACUGACAAGUCGAGCAGAUGCGAAAGCAGGACAUAGUGAUCCGGUGGUUCUGUAUGGAAGGGCCAUCGCUCAACGGAUAAAAGGUACUCUGGGGAUAACAGGCUGAUACCGCCCAAGAGUUCAUAUCGACGGCGGUGUUUGGCACCUCGAUGUCGGCUCAUCUCAUCCUGGGGCUGUAGCCGGUCCCAAGGGUAUGGCUGUUCGCCAUUUAAAGAGGUACGUGAGCUGGGUUUAAAACGUCGUGAGACAGUUUGGUCCCUAUCUUCCGUGGGCGCUGCAGAUUUGAGGAAGCCUGCUCCUAGUACGAGAGGACCGGAGUGGACGCACCUCUGGUGUACCUGUUGUCACGCCAGUGGCAUUGCAGGGUAGCUAAGUGCGGAAGAGAUAACCGCUGAAAGCAUCUAAGCGGGAAACUCGUUUCAAGAUGAGAUCUGCCGGGGCCUUGAGCCCCCUGAAGAGUCGUUCUAGACCAGGACGUUGAUAGGUCAGGUGUGGAAGCGCAGUAAUGCGUUAAGCUAACUGAUACUAAUUGCUCGUGCGGCUUGACUAA
Molecule: ribosomal RNA, 1301 nt
Filed under: metagenome
Description: bacterial LSU rRNA
Rfam family: Bacterial large subunit ribosomal RNA
Source: RNAcentral